Long non-coding RNA from Oncorhynchus keta (chum salmon), 473 nucleotides. RefSeq lists it as uncharacterized. NCBI's taxonomy places the organism in Eukaryota, Metazoa, Chordata, Actinopteri, Salmoniformes, Salmonidae. The record is from RefSeq and is a predicted model, not a curated record. The transcript is spliced from 3 exons.
UUGGCCUCGUAGAUGCUCAUGGUCCGUUUGGUGGACUGAACAUAUACACCUGCAAUGCUAUUAGUUCCCUCCAAGUACUUGUGUACUGAGUCCAUUUCACUCACUUGGUUCACUGUGACUUUUCCUGUGUUGAGGUCUUCAUAGAGUUUCUUGUCAAUAAUUUUUGAGGCAAGCAGCUCGCCAGCGGUGACAUUCUUCCUGAUACCAUGGAAGCUUGUCUCUGUGGUUGUUGUGGUGAUGGUUGUUUUCUCUGACUUUGUCUCAGGUGGUGGUGUGCAUGUUGACACUGAAGAUGUUGUGGUUAUUGUGGUGGUAGUCUUUUGUUGAAUACUUGCUAGGAUAAUCUCCAUGAAGCGUUCAAUAGUGAUUGCUCCAGAUUUAUACUGCUGCACAAGCUCUCUCCUUCUCUCCUCUGUGAUGUAUUUUGAGUAGAGGAGAUCCCAUAGAGACACUUUCUGUCCUUGAAAUUUGCC